RNAcentral lists this unclassified non-coding RNA (270 nucleotides) under fungal sp. RNAcentral's name for it is "partial internal transcribed spacer region". The stretch from base 1 to 46 matches the Rfam family "Eukaryotic small subunit ribosomal RNA", at positions 1786 to 1831 of the family's 1831-position model. Lineage: Eukaryota; Fungi. The record is from RNAcentral.
AAGUCGUAACAAGGUAACCGUAGGUGAACCUGCGGUUGGAUCAUUAAUAAAUUUAAUCUAAAAGAAGGCAAGGGGUAAAACUCUUGUCUUUUUUUAAACACAAUGUGAACUGUUUAUUGUAUUUGGUGUGGUUAAAACAGGGUUCAUACUUUGGCUUGUAAAAGGGCACCCACCAAUGUUAAACUAUUUUAUCUGUCUUAUUUUUUUUUGUUACUUUGUAAUAAAAUUUUAAAAAAAAAACAACUUUUGGCAACGGAUCUCUAGGCUCUU